UAUUAAAAAUUUUAUUUAUUUGUACUGUUAAUAAUUGACAUCAUUGGAAGAAUAACCAAAUAAUGACAUAUGGCGUGCUACGUAUACCUCACGUUAAUGUAUAGAGACUAAUUUUUAACAGUAGAAAUAAAUAAAAUUUUUAACA
Non-coding RNA from Gossypium raimondii (Peruvian cotton), 145 nucleotides. The record is from Rfam. NCBI's taxonomy places the organism in Eukaryota, Viridiplantae, Streptophyta, Magnoliopsida, Malvales, Malvaceae.